AUUGAACGCUGGCGGCAGGCCUAACACAUGCAAGUCGAGCGGAUGAAGGGAGCUUGCUCCUGGAUUCAGCGGCGGACGGGUGAGUAAUGCCUAGGAAUCUGCCUGGUAGUGGGGGAUAACGUCCGGAAACGGGUGCUAAUACCGCAUACGUCCUGAGGGAGAAAGUGGGGGAGCUUCGGACCUCACGCUAUCAGAUGAGCCUAGGUCGUAUUAGCUAGUUUGUGGGGUAAAGGCCUACCAAGGCGACGAUCCGUAACUGGUCUGAGAGGAUGAUCAGUCACACUGGAACUGGCAAACGCUCCAGGCUACUGCGAGAGGCAGCAGUGGGGAAUAUUGGACAAUGGGCGGAAGCCUGAUCCAGCCAGCCCACGUGUGUGAAGAAGAUCUUCGGAUUGUAAAGCACUUUAAGUUGGGAGAAAGGGCAGUAGGUUAAUACCUAGCUGUUUUGACGUUACCAGCAGAAUAAGCACCGGCUAACUUCGUG
RNAcentral lists this ribosomal RNA (484 nucleotides) under uncultured bacterium. Its description in RNAcentral is "partial 16S ribosomal RNA". It matches the Rfam family "Bacterial small subunit ribosomal RNA", at positions 30 to 507 of the family's 1533-position model. The record is from RNAcentral.